Molecule: ribosomal RNA, 256 nt
Filed under: uncultured bacterium
Lineage: Bacteria
Description: partial 16S ribosomal RNA
Rfam family: Bacterial small subunit ribosomal RNA
Source: RNAcentral
UAAUACGAAGGGGGCAAGCGUUGUUCGGAAUUACUGGGCGUAAAGGGUGUGUAGGUGGAUUUAUAAGAUAGCGGUGAAAUCCCGGGGCUUAACCUCGGAAUUGCCAUUAUAACUAUAGGUCUAGAAUCAUGGAGAGGAUAGUGGAAUACCCAGUGUAGAGGUGAAAUUCGUAGAUAUUGGGUAGAACACCAGAGGCGAAGGCGACUAUCUGGCCAUGUAUUGACACUGAGGCACGAAAGCAUGGGGAUCAAACAGG